AGUGAACGCUGGCGGUAGGCCUAACACAUGCAAGUCGAACGGCAGCACAGGAGAGCUUGCUCUCUGGGUGGCGAGUGGCGGACGGGUGAGGAAUACAUCGGAAUCUACUCUGUCGUGGGGGAUAACGUAGGGAAACUUACGCUAAUACCGCAUACGACCUGCGGGUGAAAGCAGGGGACCUUCGGGCCUUGCGCGAUUGAAUGAGCCGCUGUCGGAUUAGCUAGUUGGCGGGGUAAAGGCACACCAAGGCGACGAUCCGUAGCCGGUCUGAGGGGAUGAUCAGCCACACUGGAACUGAGACACGGUCCAGACUCCUACGGGAGGCAGCAGUGGGGAAUAUUGGACAAUGGGCGCAAGCCUGAUCCAGCCAUACCGCGUGGGUGAAGAAGGCCUUCGGGUUGUAAAGCCCUUUUGUUGGGAAAGAAAUCCAGCUGGCUAAUACCCGGUUGGGAUGACGGUACCCAAAGAAUAAGCACCGGCUAACUUCGUGCCAGCCGCCGCCGUAA
This 506-nucleotide ribosomal RNA is filed under the name uncultured bacterium. Its description in RNAcentral is "partial 16S ribosomal RNA". It matches the Rfam family "Bacterial small subunit ribosomal RNA", at positions 29 to 523 of the family's 1533-position model. The record is from RNAcentral.